GAUGAAGAACGCAGCGAAAUGCGAUAAGUAGUGUGAAUUGCAGAAUUCAGUGAAUCAUCGAAUCUUUGAACGCACAUUGCGCCCCCCGGUAUUCCGUGGGGCAUGCCUGUUCGAGCGUCAUUUAACCCCUCAAGCCUAGCUUGGUAUUGGGUGCUUGUCCCGCCUCUCGCGCGGCGACUCACCUCAAAGUCAUUGGCAGCCCGCAUCUCGCCGGCCGUGAGCGCAGCACAGACGCGCUCUUGGCAACGACGGAUCGGCUCUCCAAAAGCUUAUUUCAACCACUGACCUCGGAUCAGGUAGGGAUACCCGCUGAACUUAAGCAUAUCAAUAAGCGGAGG
RNAcentral lists this unclassified non-coding RNA (338 nucleotides) under soil metagenome. Its description in RNAcentral is "partial contains 5.8S ribosomal RNA, internal transcribed spacer 2, and large subunit ribosomal RNA". The stretch from base 1 to 120 matches the Rfam family "5.8S ribosomal RNA", at positions 35 to 154 of the family's 154-position model. The record is from RNAcentral.